This 375-nucleotide ribosomal RNA is filed under the name uncultured bacterium. RNAcentral describes it as "bacterial SSU rRNA". It matches the Rfam family "Bacterial small subunit ribosomal RNA", at positions 28 to 404 of the family's 1533-position model. The record is from RNAcentral.
GACGAACGCUGGCGGCGUGCUUAACACAUGCAAGUCGAGCGGUAAGGCCCUUUCGGGGGUACACGAGCGGCGAACGGGUGAGUAACACGUGGGUGACCUGCCUUUAGCUCUGGGAUAAGCCUGGGAAACUGGGUCUAAUACCGGAUAUGACUCCGCGGUGCAUGCUGUGGGGUGGAAAGCCUUGUGCGGCUGGAGAUGGGCCCGCGGCCUAUCAGCUUGUUGGUGGGGUGAUGGCCUACCAAGGCGACGACGGGUAGCCGGCCUGAGAGGGCGACCGGCCACACUGGGACUGAGACACGGCCCAGACUCCUACGGGAGGCAGCAGUGGGGAAUCUUGCGCAAUGGGCGAAAGCCUGACGCAGCGACGCCGCGUGA